Molecule: ribosomal RNA, 498 nt
Filed under: uncultured bacterium
Lineage: Bacteria
Description: partial 16S ribosomal RNA
Rfam family: Bacterial small subunit ribosomal RNA
Source: RNAcentral
GACGAACGCUGGCGGCGUGCCUAAUACAUGCAAGUCGAGCGGACGAAUCGAAAGCUUGCUUUUGAUUCGUUAGCGGCGGACGGGUGAGUAACACGUUGGCAACCUGUCCUGUAGACGGGGAUAACACCGAGCAAUCGGUGCUAAUACCGGAUGACACGAAAUGUCGCAUGACGUUUCGAUGAUAGACGGCGCAAGCUGUCGAUACACGAUGUGCCCGCGUCGCAUUAGCUAGUUGGCGUGGUAACGGGUCACCAAGGCGGCGACGCGUAGCCGACCCGAGAGAGUGAUCGGCCACACGGGAGCUGAGACACGGCCCAGACUACUACGGGAGGCAGCAGAAUGGAAUCGUCCGCAAUGGUCGAAAGUCUGGCGGAGCGACGCCGCGUGAGCGAAGGAAGCGUUGGGGUCGUAAAGCUCUGUUGUUGGGGAAGAACAAGUAACGCAGUAGCUGGCGUUAGCGUGACGGUACCGGGCAAGAAAGCCACGGCUAACUACGUG